Molecule: non-coding RNA, 451 nt
Organism: Rattus norvegicus (Norway rat)
Lineage: Eukaryota; Metazoa; Chordata; Mammalia; Rodentia; Muridae
Source: RefSeq, a predicted model, not a curated record
UGCGGGUCUCCGCUUCCUGCCGCAGGAAAGCGGAACAGCUCCCCCUGCGGCUGGAGUUGAGUCUCAGCAUGGUCUCUCGGGGAGUGGAGUAGGCAGGACCUGAGGCUGGCGGCACCCCUAAUGAAACCGCUUUCUUUGGGAGAGAGCCAGCUCACAGUCUUCAGUCCGCAGCCGUCCCCGGUCCACCUCUGGGUCCUUUACCUGCCUCUCUUUACCCUUGCACCGGAGCGCGUCUCCUCUUGUGUUGGAAGAUUGCUGGUAGCGCGGGCGCCACCUGCAGGCUGGUCAGAUUGAGACUCGCUGCGCAUCCUCUAGGAGAGAAGUAUUGGCGGCCCUGUAAAGGCCCCUCCCUGGCACUGUAGCAGCGAAGAGGGAGUGAAAGAGCUUCCAGUUUCUGCUCUUUUCAUCUUAAAACCCAAAAGUGAUUAUUCUGUAUAAAGUGUUAUUAAUA